UACAGAGGGUGCUAGCGUUGUUCGGAAUCAUUGGGCGUAAAGGGUGCGUAGGUGGUGAGGUAAGUCGGAUGUGAAAUCUCCGGGCUCAACCCGGAAAUGGCAUUGGAAACUACCUUGCUUGAGGAUUUGAGGGGGGAUUGGAAUACUUGGUGUAGCAGUGAAAUGCGUAGAUAUCAAGUGGAACACCAGUGGCGAAGGCGAAUCCCUGGAAAAUACCUGACACUGAGGCACGAAAGCUAGGGGAGCAAACAGG
This 253-nucleotide ribosomal RNA is filed under the name uncultured bacterium. RNAcentral's name for it is "partial 16S ribosomal RNA". It matches the Rfam family "Bacterial small subunit ribosomal RNA", at positions 524 to 776 of the family's 1533-position model. The record is from RNAcentral.